Rhea pennata is the source of this 83-nucleotide non-coding RNA. The record is from the annotation of a RefSeq genome assembly. NCBI's taxonomy places the organism in Eukaryota, Metazoa, Chordata, Aves, Rheiformes, Rheidae.
GCCUUGGAGGCAGGUUUAGCUCAGUUGGUUAGAGCAUAGUGCUGCUAAUGCUAAGGUCGUGGGUUCAAUCCCCAUGCGGGGCU